AAAUUCCUACACAUCCUUACCAGCGGCUAUUCACAAUCGGUCCCUAGCCACGAAGUCACUCUGUUCACGACGACAGCGUGUACUCGUUCACAAGUUCUUCGUUCAUUCCUCAGGACCUGCACUACAGACUGCAGAGCCUCAGGAUAUUUCGCUCCCGUUCGCUUGUAGCUGCAGGCACGGGAAUUGGGUGCUACUUGAAUGAGGAAAAGAUUCAAUUGAUUGGAGAGCUUUAUGGGGUUAGGAUGGAUCGGACAAAUUAUCAGGAUUGUUUCUUUAAGUGUUAAUCUGGUGGAACUCAGUACCUCCAUUUGUCAGCUUCACCCACAUGGAGGAACCUAUUGCAAAGCAACUAGGUUUGCUUGCCAUCCUUUUCAUGUUUUGAAAAAUCCAGAAUGAAUAAGCAUCUACAUGGGCCUGCAUGGGUUAUAAAUUUCAGAGGAAGAAGGAAACGUACCAGGAGGUGGCACAGCUGUGACUGCAUUGCAAACAGCGCAACAUACGGAGGUUGCUCCAACUGGAUAGAGUAAAAGGUUUCGACAACCAGAACAUACAAGCUGGCUUUGUGCACCUGAUAAUCAAAAUAGCUUUUAAGUUGAUUGGCGAGCAGGGAAACUCUCUGUUUUGGUGCAAAUUUAUAUUUUCAUUAGUCCAACCUGCCUCUAUGGUUUCUAGGUUGAUGAGAAUCCCAGGAGGUGAAAAUGGCACUGUAGGCCUUGGAUAAGGAGCGAGAGGAACUGGCAUUGUCACUGUCACAGUCACAGAGGAAAAUGAAGAUGGAGAAAGAAUGUCACAGGACGUUAUAGCUAGCAAAUCACUAGGCCCCAUUGAAUUCUUUGCAUCUGUAAUCCACAGAUGCAUUUAUGUUGGUGAGUCACAGAAAAUGAAAUUGAAACACGAGCAAGAGUUGGGGUGAACAGUACUGUUGGAUGAACACAGACCUUUUAGCGGUUGCAGAUGAGAGAGAGAGAGAGAGAGAGAGAGAGAGAGAGAGAGAGAGAGAGGGGUGUUAUGACUUUUAAAGAACAAGAGUAGAUAGAAGAGUUGGUGUAACUAUCAAACAGGAGAGUUUUUACCAUUUUCCUUCUUUUAUC
Long non-coding RNA from Diospyros lotus (date-plum), 1091 nucleotides. RefSeq lists it as uncharacterized. The transcript has 7 exons. NCBI's taxonomy places the organism in Eukaryota, Viridiplantae, Streptophyta, Magnoliopsida, Ericales, Ebenaceae. The record is from RefSeq and is a predicted model, not a curated record.